GUGCUCACUUUAGCAACAUACAUACUAAAAUUGGAAUAAUGCAGAGAUUAGUAUGGCCCCUGCACAAGGAGGACGCACGAAUUUGUGAAGCGUUCCAUAUUUUA
This is a small nuclear RNA of Callithrix jacchus (white-tufted-ear marmoset), 104 nucleotides long. Lineage: Eukaryota; Metazoa; Chordata; Mammalia; Primates; Cebidae. The record is from Ensembl.